UGGACAAAUUAUUGUAUUCGACUGUAUUCACGGCGUGAAACAGGGAUUACACUAUUUUUAAAUGAAAAGUUAAUCAAUUAACAUAAAUAGACUCCU
RNAcentral lists this microRNA precursor (96 nucleotides) under Nicotiana sylvestris (wood tobacco). RNAcentral describes it as "MIR6152 microRNA precursor family". It matches the Rfam family "MIR6152 microRNA precursor family". RNAcentral also lists the same sequence under 1 other name. The record is from Rfam by way of RNAcentral. Lineage: Eukaryota; Viridiplantae; Streptophyta; Magnoliopsida; Solanales; Solanaceae.